RNAcentral lists this ribosomal RNA (253 nucleotides) under uncultured bacterium. RNAcentral describes it as "partial 16S ribosomal RNA". It matches the Rfam family "Bacterial small subunit ribosomal RNA", at positions 524 to 776 of the family's 1533-position model. The record is from RNAcentral.
UACGGGGGGGGCAAGCGUUGUUCGGAAUUACUGGGCGUAAAGGGCUCGUAGGCGGCCAACUAAGUCAGACGUGAAAUCCCUCGGCUUAACCGGGGAACUGCAUCUGAUACUGGAUGGCUUGAGUUCGGGAGAGGGAUGCGGAAUUCCAGGUGUAGCGGUGAAAUGCGUAGAUAUCUGGAGGAACACCGGUGGCGAAGGCGGCAUCCUGGACCGACACUGACGCUGAGGAACGAAAGCCAGGGGAGCAAACGGG